GGGACCUGGCCCGACGUGCAUUAGCUAGUUGGUAAGGUAAACGGCUUACCAAGGCGAUGAUGCAUAGCCGAGUUGAGAGACUGAUCGGCCACAUUGGGACUGAGACACGGCCCAAACUCCUACGGGAGGCAGCAGUAGGGAAUCUUCCACAAUGGACGCAAGUCUGAUGGAGCAACGCCGCGUGAGUGAAGAAGGUUUUCGGAUCGUAAAGCUCUGUUGUUGGUGAAGAAGGAUAGAGGUAGUAACUGGCCUUUAUUUGACGGUAAUCAACCAGAAAGUCACGGCUAACUACGUGCCAGCAGCCGCGGUAAAU
Molecule: ribosomal RNA, 313 nt
Filed under: uncultured Lactobacillus sp.
Lineage: Bacteria; Bacillati; Bacillota; Bacilli; Lactobacillales; Lactobacillaceae
Description: bacterial SSU rRNA
Rfam family: Bacterial small subunit ribosomal RNA
Source: RNAcentral